GACGAACGCUGGCGGCGUGCUUAACACAUGCAAGUCGAACGGAAAGGCCCUGCUUUUGUGGGGUGCUCGAGUGGCGAACGGGUGAGUAACACGUGAGUAACCUGCCCUUGACUUUGGGAUAACUUCAGGAAACUGGGGCUAAUACCGGAUAGGAGCUCCUGCUGCAUGGUGGGGGUUGGAAAGUUUCGGCGGUUGGGGAUGGACUCGCGGCUUAUGAGCUUGUUGGUGGGGUAGUGGCUUACCAAGGCUUUGACGGGUAGCCGGCCUGAGAGGGUGACCGGCCACAUUGGGACUGAGAUGCGGCCCAGGCUCCUACGGGAGGCAGGGGUGGGAAAUAUUGCACAAAGGGCGGAAGCGUGAUGCAGAGACGCCGCGUGCGGGAUGACGGCUUUCGGGUUGGAAACCUCUUUCGCCUGUGACGAGGCGUGAGGGAGGGAAAUGGGUAAAGAAGCACGGGCUAACUACGG
Molecule: ribosomal RNA, 467 nt
Filed under: uncultured bacterium
Lineage: Bacteria
Description: partial 16S ribosomal RNA
Rfam family: Bacterial small subunit ribosomal RNA
Source: RNAcentral